This 166-nucleotide ribosomal RNA is filed under the name uncultured Asticcacaulis sp. RNAcentral describes it as "partial 16S ribosomal RNA". It matches the Rfam family "Bacterial small subunit ribosomal RNA", at positions 338 to 521 of the family's 1533-position model. The record is from RNAcentral. Lineage: Bacteria; Pseudomonadati; Pseudomonadota; Alphaproteobacteria; Caulobacterales; Caulobacteraceae.
CCUACGGGAGGCAGCAGUGGGGAAUCUUCCGCAAUGGGCGAAAGCCUGACGCAGCCAUGCCGCGUGAAUGAUGAAGGUCUUAGGAUUGUAAAAUUCUUUCAGCAGGGACGAUAAUGACGGUACCUGCAGAAGAAGCCCCGGCUAACUUCGUGCCAGCAGCCGCGGU